UACGGGGGGGGCAAGCGUUGUUCGGAAUUACUGGGCGUAAAGGGCUCGUAGGCGGCCAACUAAGUCAGACGUGAAAUCCCCAGGCUUAACCUGGGAACUGCGUCGGAUACUGGAUGGCUUGAAUCCGGGAGAGGGAUGCGGAAUUCCAGGUGUAGCGGUGAAAUGCGUAGAUAUCUGGAGGAACACCGGUGGCGAAGGCGGCAUCCUGGACCGGCAUUGACGCUGAUGAGCGAAAGCCAGGGGAGCAAACGGG
This 253-nucleotide ribosomal RNA is filed under the name uncultured bacterium. Its description in RNAcentral is "partial 16S ribosomal RNA". It matches the Rfam family "Bacterial small subunit ribosomal RNA", at positions 524 to 776 of the family's 1533-position model. The record is from RNAcentral.